RNAcentral lists this transfer RNA (73 nucleotides) under Perca flavescens (yellow perch). It matches the Rfam family "tRNA". From Rfam's summary of the family: Transfer RNA (tRNA) molecules are approximately 80 nucleotides in length. Their secondary structure includes four short double-helical elements and three loops (D, anti-codon, and T loops). Further hydrogen bonds mediate the characteristic L-shaped molecular structure. tRNAs have two regions of fundamental functional importance: the anti-codon, which is responsible for specific mRNA codon recognition, and the 3' end, to which the tRNAs corresponding amino acid is attached (by aminoacyl-tRNA synthetases). tRNAs cope with the degeneracy of the genetic code in two manners: having more than one tRNA (with a specific anti-codon) for a particular amino acid; and 'wobble' base-pairing, i.e. permitting non-standard base-pairing at the 3rd anti-codon position. Lineage: Eukaryota; Metazoa; Chordata; Actinopteri; Perciformes; Percidae. The record is from Rfam by way of RNAcentral.
GGCACUGUAGCUUAUAGGUUAAAGCACCUGUCUCGUAAACAGGAGAUCCUGGGUUCAAAUCCCAGCAGUGGCU